Molecule: long non-coding RNA, 417 nt
Organism: Maniola jurtina (meadow brown)
Lineage: Eukaryota; Metazoa; Arthropoda; Insecta; Lepidoptera; Nymphalidae
Exons: 3
Source: RefSeq, a predicted model, not a curated record
UUAAGGCUGAUCAAAGUCAUAGAAUACUCUACAGAUCUCAGCCUAAGAGUAACAGUCAAAUGAAGCACAUUGGAGCGGAGUGAUGUGUUCAUCAGGCCAAUCAGAAUAUAGAUAUGACAUAAUAAUAUUAACACGUCAGCUAUCAAUAACUUGAUUGGGCUAUUGAACACGUUUCCGCACCGCUCCGCUUCAGGAAAACGCACCUUAAGGCGCAAACACUGUCACCCGCCCGAUAAGACGCUCUAAGUACCUCCUUAAGGACCUCGACGAUCAAAUGACCAAAAAUUCACCCUAUUUUGUAGGGUAACACAUCAACAACCUCUGCACAGCGUCUUGGCCGGUGAAGACGAGGUUCCCGAUUUCUAACGUCACCCGGACGUGGACUCGGGGGGCGUUAGGAUCCUAAUCAAAUCCGAC